RNAcentral lists this ribosomal RNA (253 nucleotides) under uncultured bacterium. RNAcentral's name for it is "partial 16S ribosomal RNA". It matches the Rfam family "Bacterial small subunit ribosomal RNA", at positions 524 to 776 of the family's 1533-position model. The record is from RNAcentral.
UACGGGGGGAGCAAGCGUUGUUCGGAUUUACUGGGCGUAAAGGGCGCGUAGGCGGCACCGCAAGUCAGUUGUGAAAUCUCUGGGCUUAACCCAGAAAGGUCAACUGAUACUGCGGGGCUAGAGUGCAGAAGGGGCAACUGGAAUUCUCGGUGUAGCGGUGAAAUGCGUAGAUAUCGAGAGGAACACCUGCGGCGAAGGCGGGUUGCUGGGCUGACACUGACGCUGAUGUGCGAAAGCUAGGGGAGCGAACGGG